GGGGGUGUAAAUUCGGGGCUGAGCGGGUUCCCUACCCGCAAAUUACAGGUAUUCGACCCGUAAAUUGCGGGUACACCCAAAAAUAUUACCCUUAUCUACCGCUAUGCUCAGUUCAAAAUUGAACAGACCCAAUAUACUCAAAUCAAAAUUGAACUGAUAGGUGUAAAAUACGAAUUGAACCGACCAAUCAAAGCAUAUAAAAUCGACCAAAACCGAUCGACUGAAGUCGAUCUAUUUUGAUCGGUAACUGACCAAACCGACAGAGAUAGGGUGUGGCAGUGGAGCAAGAAGGUCUGUUGUCUGCUGGCGGCAGACGGGCGGAGGGGAUGCAGGGCAGGUGGCGUUGCGGCAAGCUGUAGCAGUAGAGUAGGGAAGGAUGGACGGCAUCGACGCGGGAUGCUGUUGUUGCUGGAUGGACGACAUCAACGAGGGUUGUUGCUGCUGUUAGUCGCUGGUCUGCUAUCAUCGGAAGCGGAGGAAGAUGGGUACAUGGGGCAGCUCCGGAGGAGGACAACAGAUGGGAUUAGAUAGGGUUACCGGAGAUACUCCCUCCUUCCACAAAGAGUGUAUUGUGGAGGACACAAAUUUUAAUAAAAAAGUUGAAAGAUUUGAUUUUAAUGUUAAAUGAUAGUGUUGAGCCCACCAAAAUAUAAAAGUAAAAGGUGAGUAUUUUGUAAAUAUUGAGUGUGAAUAAAGUUUAAAGUAUA
RNAcentral lists this long non-coding RNA (707 nucleotides) under Salvia miltiorrhiza (redroot sage). Its description in RNAcentral is "long non-coding RNA (SMIL_LNC013711)". The record is from RNAcentral. Lineage: Eukaryota; Viridiplantae; Streptophyta; Magnoliopsida; Lamiales; Lamiaceae.